RNAcentral lists this ribosomal RNA (460 nucleotides) under uncultured bacterium. RNAcentral's name for it is "partial 16S ribosomal RNA". It matches the Rfam family "Bacterial small subunit ribosomal RNA", at positions 338 to 795 of the family's 1533-position model. The record is from RNAcentral.
CCUACGGGUGGCAGCAGUGAGGAAUAUUGGUCAAUGGACGAGAGUCUGAACCAGCCAAGUAGCGUGAAGGAUGACUGCCCUAUGGGUUGUAAACUUCUUUUAUAUGGGAAUAAAAUGUUCCACGUGUGGGAUUUUGUAUGUACCAUAUGAAUAAGGAUCGGCUAACUCCGUGCCAGCAGCCGCGGUAAUACGGAGGAUCCGAGCGUUAUCCGGAUUUAUUGGGUUUAAAGGGAGCGUAGGUGGAUUGUUAAGUCAGUUGUGAAAGUUUGCGGCUCAACCGUAAAAUUGCAGUUGAAACUGGCAGGCUUGAGUAUGGUAGAGGUGGGCGGAAUGCGUGGUGUAGCGGUGAAAUGCUUAGAUAUCACGAAGAACUCCGAUUGCGAAGGCAGCUCACUGGGCCGCAACUGACACUGAGGCUCGAAAGUGUGGGUAUCAAACAGGAUUAGAUACCCGGGUAGUC